AACUUCUAACGGUGGAUCUCUUGGCUCGUGCAUCGAUGAAGAACGCAGCCAGCUGCGAUAAGUAGUGUGAAUUGCAGAACUCAGCGAAUCAUCGAAUCUUUGAACGCAAAUGGCGCUCCCCGGUUCUCCGGGGAGCAUGUCUGUCUGAGCGUCAUG
This 156-nucleotide ribosomal RNA is filed under the name Chrysaora fulgida. Its description in RNAcentral is "5.8S ribosomal RNA". It matches the Rfam family "5.8S ribosomal RNA". From Rfam's summary of the family: 5.8S ribosomal RNA (5.8S rRNA) is a component of the large subunit of the eukaryotic ribosome. The record is from RNAcentral. Lineage: Eukaryota; Metazoa; Cnidaria; Scyphozoa; Semaeostomeae; Pelagiidae. RNAcentral also lists the same sequence under 1 other name.